This 321-nucleotide ribosomal RNA is filed under the name Ditylum brightwellii. Its description in RNAcentral is "partial Bacterial large subunit ribosomal RNA". It matches the Rfam family "Bacterial large subunit ribosomal RNA", at positions 561 to 883 of the family's 2925-position model. Lineage: Eukaryota; Bacillariophyta; Thalassiosirophyceae; Lithodesmiales; Lithodesmiaceae. The record is from RNAcentral.
CGCCUACAAGCAGUGGGAGGAUCUUCAUGAUCUGACCGCGUACCUCUUGCAUAAUGGGUCUGUGACUUAAUGUAUCAAGCAAGCUUAAGCCGUUAGGUGUAGGCGCAGCGAAAGCGAGUCUGAAUAGGGCGAUUGAGUCGCGUGUCCUAGACCCGAAGCGGAGUGAUCUACCCAUGGCCAGGGUGAAGCGCGGGUAAGACCGCGUGGAGGACCGAACCCACUUCGGUUAAAAACGGAGGGGAUGAGCUGUGGGUAGGGGUGAAAGGCCAAUCAAACUCCGUGAUAGCUGGUUCUCCCCGAAAUGCAUUUAGGUGCAGCGUC